This is a long non-coding RNA of Eleginops maclovinus (Patagonian blennie), 693 nucleotides long. RefSeq lists it as uncharacterized. NCBI's taxonomy places the organism in Eukaryota, Metazoa, Chordata, Actinopteri, Perciformes, Eleginopidae. The record is from RefSeq and is a predicted model, not a curated record. The transcript has 3 exons.
GCGGAGCCUCAGAGCCCUGGACAGAAUGCAGCAGCAGACAUGAAGACAGCCUACUUACCGCUUUAACGAUGCAGAGUCCGGCUGUCAUCUGUCAUCAGCUCUGAUGGCAACUCCGGGGACUGAAAACAAACAAACAAACAGACCAAAUGUUAAUUCUUUACCCGGCGAACGAUCGAAGUGUCUGGCUUUACAAAGACUGUAAGGAAAUGUUAUCUGAAGAUCUAAACAGGGAAAUCCUAAACGCCGAAGUGAUGGACAAAAGGAGACACGGGAGUGCACAGACUGCAGAGGCAGACUCUCUGGCGCCGGCGCCGUGACGUCACCCCAUUCACAGCAGCCCUCCAGCCAGCCCUCGCGGCGCCGCUGAGGCGGUUUCCAUGGGAACGGGGUUUCGGGGCUGUCAAUCAGAGGUAGUUCUCAGCUGAUCAACCCGGGCAGAACCGGGAAGGUUCUAGGACGGGAUGUGGGGCGCUGUGGGUUUCCUCUUCGGUGUUGGCCAGCUCCAGUUACUCAAGUGCUGUACACAUCGGAUACUGAGUAUUACCAUUUCAUAUUUCUCACAAUUCAGAGGAAGAUCUAAGCUACUUUUUUACCCCGUUAUAGUAGGACUACUCCUUGUAGCUUUGGCUUCCUAUUAAUUCACAUAUUCAUAAAAUAUGAUGAUAUCAUAAAAUACAAUGCACUGUUUAAACA